This 1373-nucleotide ribosomal RNA is filed under the name uncultured bacterium. RNAcentral's name for it is "bacterial SSU rRNA". It matches the Rfam family "Bacterial small subunit ribosomal RNA", at positions 28 to 1381 of the family's 1533-position model. The record is from RNAcentral.
GAUGAACGCUGGCGGCGUGCCUAAUGCAUGCAAGUCGAGCGAACGGACGAGAAGCUUGCUUCUCUGAUGUUAGCGGCGGACGGGUGAGUAACACGUGGAUAACCUACCUAUAAGACUGGGAUAACUUCGGGAAACCGGAGCUAAUACCGGAUAAUAUUUUGAACCGCAUGGUUCAAAAGUGAAAGACGGUCUUGCUGUCACUUAUAGAUGGAUCCGCGCUGCAUUAGCUAGUUGGUAAGGUAACGGCUUACCAAGGCAACGAUGCAUAGCCGACCUGAGAGGGUGAUCGGCCACACUGGAACUGAGACACGGUCCAGACUCCUACGGGAGGCAGCAGUAGGGAAUCUUCCGCAAUGGGCGAAAGCCUGACGGAGCAACGCCGCGUGAGUGAUGAAGGUCUUCGGAUCGUAAAACUCUGUUAUUAGGGAAGAACAUAUGUGUAAGUAACUGUGCACAUCUUGACGGUACCUAAUCAGGAAGCCACGGCUAACUACGUGCCAGCAGCCGCGGUAAUACGUAGGUGGCAAGCGUUAUCCGGAAUUAUUGGGCGUAAAGCGCGCGUAGGCGGUUUUUUAAGUCUGAUGUGAAAGCCCACGGCUCAACCGUGGAGGGUCAUUGGAAACUGGAAAACUUGAGUGCAGAAGAGGAAAGUGGAAUUCCAUGUGUAGCGGUGAAAUGCGCAGAGAUAUGGAGGAACACCAGUGGCGAAGGCGACUUUCUGGUCUGUAACUGACGCUGAUGUGCGAAAGCGUGGGGAUCAAACAGGAUUAGAUACCCUGGUAGUCCACGCCGUAAACGAUGAGUGCUAAGUGUUAGGGGGUUUCCGCCCCUUAGUGCUGCAGCUAACGCAUUAAGCACUCCGCCUGGGGAGUACGACCGCAAGGUUGAAACCCAAAGGAAUUGACGGGGACCCGCACAAGCGGUGGAGCAUGUGGUUUAAUUCGAAGCAACGCGAAGAACCUUACCAAAUCUUGACAUCCUUUGACAACUCUAGAGAUAGAGCCUUCCCCUUCGGGGGGGCAAAGUGACAGGUGGUGCAUGGUUGUCGUCAGCUCGUGUCGUGAGAUGUUGGGUUAAGUCCCGCAACGAGCGCAACCCUUAAGCUUAGUUGCCAUCAUUAAGUUGGGCACUCUAAGUUGACUGCCGGUGACAAACCGGAGGAAGGUGGGGAUGACGUCAAAUCAUCAUGCCCCUUAUGAUUUGGGCUACACACGUGCUACAAUGGACAAUACAAAGGGCAGCGAAACCGCGAGGUCAAGCAAAUCCCAUAAAGUUGUUCUCAGUUCGGAUUGUAGUCUGCAACUCGACUACAUGAAGCUGGAAUCGCUAGUAAUCGUAGAUCAGCAUGCUACGGUGAAUACGUUCCCGGGUCU